Molecule: ribosomal RNA, 484 nt
Filed under: uncultured bacterium
Lineage: Bacteria
Description: partial 16S ribosomal RNA
Rfam family: Bacterial small subunit ribosomal RNA
Source: RNAcentral
AUUGAACGCUGGUGGCAGGCCUAACACAUGCAAGUCGAGCGGAUGAAGGGAGCUUGCUCCUGGAUUCAGCGGCGGACGGGUGAGUAAUGCCUAGGAAUCUGCCUGGUAGUGGGGGAUAACGUCCGGAAACGGGCGCUAAUACCGCAUACGUCCUGAGGGAGAAAGUGGGGGAUCUUCGGACCUCACGCUAUCAGAUGAGCCUAGGUCGGAUUAGCUAGUUGGUGGGGUAAAGGCCUACCAAGGCGACGAUCCGUAACUGGUCUGAGAGGAUGAUCAGUCACACUGGAACUGAGACACGGUCCAGACUCCGACGGGAGGCAGCAGUGGGGAAUAUUGGACAAUGGGCGAAAGCCUGAUCCAGCCAUGCCGCGUGUGUGAAGAAGGUCUUCGGAUUGUAAAGCACUUUAAGUUGGGAGGAAGGGCAGUAAGUUAAUACCUUGCUGUUUUGACGUUACCAACAGAAUAAGCACCGGCUAACUUCGUG